GAACGCUAGCGGCAGGCUUAACACAUGCAAGUCGAGGGGCAGCAAGGAUUGUGCUUGCACAAUCUGUUGGCGACCGGCGCACGGGUGCGUAACGCGUAUGCAACCUACCUUUAACAGGGGGAUAACACUGAGAAAUUGGUACUAAUACCCCAUAAUACUUUGAAAGGCAUCUUUCGGAGUUGAAAGUUCCGGCGGUUAGAGAUGGGCAUGCGUUGUAUUAGCUAGAUGGCGGGGUAACGGCCCACCAUGGCGACGAUGUCUAGGGGUUCUGAGAGGAAGGUCCCCCACACUGGAACUGAGACACGGUCCAGACUCCUACGGGAGGCAGCAGUGAGGAAUAUUGGUCAAUGGUCUGACGACUGAACCAGCCAUGCCGCGUGAAGGUGACGGCCCUAUGGGUCUUAAACUUCUUUUGUAAGGGAGCAAUAAGUCUCACGUGUGGGAUGAUGAGAGUACCUUACGAAUAAGCAUCGGCUAACUCCGUG
This 485-nucleotide ribosomal RNA is filed under the name uncultured bacterium. RNAcentral's name for it is "bacterial SSU rRNA". It matches the Rfam family "Bacterial small subunit ribosomal RNA", at positions 31 to 507 of the family's 1533-position model. The record is from RNAcentral.